GACGAACGCUGGCGGCGUGCUUAACACAUGCAAGUCGAGCGGUAAGGCCCUUCGGGUACGACGAGCGGCGAACGGGUGAGUAACACGUGGGUGGACUUGCCCUCAGCUCUGGGAGUAAGCCUGGGAAACCGGGGUACGUAAUACCGGAUAUGACUCCAUGACGCAUGUUGUGGGGUGGAAAGCCUUGUGCGGCUGAGGAUGGGCCCGCGGCCUAUCAGCUUGUUGGUGGGGU
Molecule: ribosomal RNA, 232 nt
Filed under: uncultured bacterium
Lineage: Bacteria
Description: partial 16S ribosomal RNA
Rfam family: Bacterial small subunit ribosomal RNA
Source: RNAcentral